Molecule: ribosomal RNA, 255 nt
Filed under: Ostreococcus mediterraneus
Lineage: Eukaryota; Viridiplantae; Chlorophyta; Mamiellophyceae; Mamiellales; Bathycoccaceae
Description: partial Bacterial large subunit ribosomal RNA
Rfam family: Bacterial large subunit ribosomal RNA
Source: RNAcentral
GCCUGCCCGGUGCCGGAAGGUUAAAAGGAGGGGUGAGAGCUCCGAAUUGAAGCCCCGGUAAACGGCGGCCGUAACAAUAACGGUCCUAAGGUAGCGAAAUUCCUUGUCGGGUAAGUUCCGACCUGCACGAAUGGCGUAACGACUUCCCCACUGUCUCCAACGCAGACUCAGCGAAAUUGAACUCUCCGUGAAGAUGCGGAGUACCCGCGGUUAGACGGAAAGACCCCGUGCACCUUUACUACAGCUUCGCAGUGG